GAUGAACGCUGGCGGCGUGCCUAACACAUGCAAGUCGAGCGAACAGACGAGGUGCUUGCUCCCCUGACGUUAGCGGCGGAUGGGUGAUUAACACGUGGAUAACCUACCUAUAAGACUGGGAUAACUUCGGCAAACCGGAUCUAAUACCGGACAAUAUAUUGAACCGCAUGGUUCAUUAGUGAAAGACGGUUUUGCUGUCACUAAUAGAUGGUUCCGCGCCGCAUUAGCUAGUUGGUAAGGUAACGGCUUACCAAGGCGACGAUGCGUAGCCGACCUGAGAGGGUGAUCAGCCACACUGGAACUGAGACACGGCCCAGACUCCUACGGGAGGCAGCAGUAGGGAAUCUUGCGCAAUGGGCGAAAGCUUGACGGAGCAAUGCCGCGUGAGUGAUGAAGGUCUUCGGAUCGUAAAGCUCUGUUGUUAGGAAAGAACAAAAGCGUAAGUAACUAUGCACGUCAUGACGGUACCUGAACAAAAAGCCACGGCUAACUACGUG
RNAcentral lists this ribosomal RNA (497 nucleotides) under uncultured bacterium. RNAcentral's name for it is "partial 16S ribosomal RNA". It matches the Rfam family "Bacterial small subunit ribosomal RNA", at positions 28 to 507 of the family's 1533-position model. The record is from RNAcentral.